Molecule: long non-coding RNA, 420 nt
Organism: Clupea harengus (Atlantic herring)
Lineage: Eukaryota; Metazoa; Chordata; Actinopteri; Clupeiformes; Clupeidae
Source: Ensembl
CCAAAGCACUGACCAACACUUUUGAAUUCACUGAAAAGAUUUUACUUGGUCUAGAAAGUGGUAAACUGUCACCCAGGUUGCAGACCCUCAAGAAUGACUUGUUGAUGUAAGUGACUGAUGGAGGAGGUGGAGAGGGAGGUGACUGAUGGAGGAGAGGGAGGAGAAGAGGGAGGUGACUGAUGGAGGAGGAGAGGGAGGUGACUGAUGGAGGAGGUGGAGAGGGAGGAGGAGAGGGAGGUGACUGAUGGAGGAGGUGGAGAGGGAGGAGAAGAGGGAGGUGACUGAUGGAGGAGAGGGAGGAGAAGAGGGAGGUGACUGAUGGAGGAGGUGGAGAGGGAGGUGACUGAUGGAGGAGGUGGAGAGGGAGGUGACUGAUGGAGGAGGUGGAGAUGGAGGUGACUGAUGGAGGAGGUGAGGGAG